Molecule: ribosomal RNA, 468 nt
Filed under: uncultured bacterium
Lineage: Bacteria
Description: partial 16S ribosomal RNA
Rfam family: Bacterial small subunit ribosomal RNA
Source: RNAcentral
GACGAACGCUGGCGGCGUGCUUAACACAUGCAAGUCGAACGGAAAGGCCCGGCUCUUGUGGGGUGCUCGAGUGGCGAACGGGUGAGUAACACGUGAGUAACCUGCCCUUGACUUUGGGAUAACUUCAGGAAAAUGGGGCUCAUACCGGAUAGGAGCUCCUGCUGCAUGGUGGGGGAUGGAAAGUUUCGGCGGUUGGGGAUGGACUCGCGGCUUAUCAGCUUGUUGGGGGAGUAGUGGCUUACCAAGGCUUUGACGGGUAGCCGGCCUUGGAGGGUGACCGGCCACAUUGGUACUGCGAGACGGCCCAGUCUCCUACGGGCGGCAGCAGGGGGGAAUAUUACGCAGUGGGCGGAAGCCAGAUGCAGCAACGCCGCGUGCGGGAUGCCGUCCUUCGGGUUGUAAACCGCUUUCGCCUGUGACGAAGAGGGAGUGACGGUAAUGGGUAAAGAAGCACCGGCUAACUACGUG